Molecule: ribosomal RNA, 559 nt
Filed under: uncultured bacterium
Lineage: Bacteria
Description: bacterial SSU rRNA
Rfam family: Bacterial small subunit ribosomal RNA
Source: RNAcentral
CCUACGGGAGGCAGCAGUGGGGAAUCUUGCGCAAUGGGGGCAACCCUGACGCAGCCAUGCCGCGUGAAUGAUGAAGGCCUUAGGGUUGUAAAGUUCUUUUGCCCGUGACGAUGAUGACGGUAACGGGAGAAUAAGCUCCGGCUAACUUCGUGCCAGCAGCCGCGGUAAUACGAAGGGGGCUAGCGUUGUUCGGAAUUACUGGGCGUAAAGCGCGCGCAGGCGGUUCGAUAAGUUAGGGGUGAAAUCCCUGGGCUCAACCCAGGAAUGGCCUUUAAGACUGUCGAGCUAGAGGACGAGAGAGGUGAGUGGAAUUCCCAGUGUAGAGGUGAAAUUCGUAGAUAUUGGGAAGAACACCGGUGGCGAAGGCGGCUCACUGGCUCGUUUCUGACGCUGAGGCGCGAAAGCGUGGGGAGCAAACAGGAUUAGAUACCCUGGUAGUCCACGCCCUAAACGAUGAGUGCCAGGUGUCGGGAAGCUUAGCUUCUCGGCGCCGCAGCUAACGCCUUAAGCACUCCGCCUGGGGAGUACGGCCGCAGGUUAAACUCAAAGGAAUUGACGG